GAGUCUCUGCCCUAUCAGCUUGAUGGUAGCGUAUUGGGCUACCAUGGCGGUUACGGGUACGAGGAAUUAGGGUUCGAUUCCGGAGAGGGAGCCUGAGAAACGGCUGCUACUUCCACGGAGGGCAGCAGGCGCGAAAAUUGCCCACUCCCAACACAUUGGGGAGGCAGCGAAGAGGAAUACCAUUGCAACCGUGUUCACAUGGUAGUGAUCGGAAUGAGAGCAAUCUAAACAACUCAACGAGUAACCAUUGGAGGACAAGUCUGGUGCCAGCACCCGCGGUAAUUCCAGCUCCAAGAGCGUAUAUUAACGCUGCUGCUGUUAAAGGGUUCGUAGUUGGAUUCAGGGAUAGGAGGGUUGUGGUUGGCCUCCGGGCUAUACGGCCGCAGUUUCCUCCUUCUCUGUUUGUGUGGAACCGUAGCCCUGCGAUUUCCCUUAGGGGGAUGAGCAAAUCCGCAUAUGCCUUAUGCAUAAAGGGCCGUCCACCAUUAUUACUGUGAGCAAAACAGCGUGUCCAAGGCAGGCUUUGCCAUGAAUGAUAAAGCAUGGAAUAACAAUGGAUCGCACGAACGUAGCGAAUCUUGUGGGUUUUCAAGCCGCAUUCGUAUAACUUCCGAUGCUAUCUACCGAAUUGCUUCGUUGUACGUGACAUUAUGGAUCGUGCCGAGCGAUGCGGCCCAGAUGCUUCGGUUUGGGAUCAAUGGGGACUGUCGGGGGAAGACGUAUUACCACGUCAGAGGUGAAAUUCUUAGACCGUGGUAAGACGGCCUACAGCGCAGGCAUCUUCCAAGUAUGUCUUCGUUAAUCAAGAACCAAAGUGUGGAGAUCGAAGAUGAUUAGAUACCAUUGUAGUCCACUACUGCAAACGAUGACGCCCACGGAUUGAAUGUCCGACGGCUGCAUCCAGUACUCCCUUCUACACCUACGCGAAAGCUGAGGUUACGGUCUCAUGGGGGAGUACAGUCGCAAGGCUGAAACUUAAAGAAAUUGACGGAAUGGCACCACCAGGCGUGGAGCGUGCGGUUUAAUUUGACUCAACACGGGGGACCUUACCAGGUCCGGACAACGUCAGGAUUGACAGAUUGACAGCUCUUUCUCGAUUCGUUUGACGGUGGUGCAUGGCCGCUCCUGGUUCGUGAAGUGAUUUGUUUGGUUGAUUCCGUUAACGAACGAGAUCUCACCCGCUUACUAGGAAGGAUAUCGAACAAAGCUUGCGCUGCCCUUGUGGUUUUGCGCUUGCGAGAUUUCCUUACCUUCUUAGCGGCACCUGGCGUGUUUUAUAGCACCAUGGAGCGAGCCAAUAGCAGGUCUGUGAUGCUCCUAAAUGUCCUGGGCAACACGCGCACUACAAUGGCAGAGGCAACGAGUCUGGAUUACGCAGCCGGGACACGAAAGGUCCGGGGAAACAUGUAACUCUGUCGUGCCUGGGAUCGAGGCUUGCAAUUAUUUCUCUUCAACGAGGAAUGCCUAGUAGGCGCAGGUCAUCAACCUGCACUGGAUACGUCCCUGCCAUUUGUACACACCGCCCGUCGUUGCUACCGAUUGGGUGACUGACAGAGAUUGCUGGACUGUGCCAACCUUCGGGUUGUUGCGGGAAGUCAACCAAUGUUUAUCAUCUAGAGGAAGCAAAAGUCGUAACAAGGUAGCUGUAGGUGA
RNAcentral lists this ribosomal RNA (1653 nucleotides) under Euglenozoa sp. D1. RNAcentral's name for it is "SSU rRNA". It matches the Rfam family "Eukaryotic small subunit ribosomal RNA", at positions 301 to 1812 of the family's 1831-position model. The record is from RNAcentral. Lineage: Eukaryota; Euglenozoa.